RNAcentral lists this ribosomal RNA (1435 nucleotides) under uncultured bacterium. Its description in RNAcentral is "bacterial SSU rRNA". It matches the Rfam family "Bacterial small subunit ribosomal RNA". The record is from RNAcentral.
AGAGUUUGAUCCUGGCUCAGGACGAACGCUGGCGGCGUGCCUAAUACAUGCAAGUCGAGCGAGCUUGCCUAGAUGAUUUUCGUGCUAGGGCUAAAUGAAACUCCAUACGAGCGAGCGGCGAACGGGUGAGGAACACCUGGGUAACCUGCCCGAGACACUGGGAUAACACCUGUGAACAGAUGCUAAUACCGGAUAACGACACUAGACGCAUGUCUAGAGUUUGAAAGAUGGCUCUGCUAUCACUCUUGGAUGGACCUGCGGUGCAUUAGCUAGUUGGUAAGGUAACGGCUUACCAAGGCAAUGAUGCAUAGCCGAGUUGAGAGACUGAUCGACCACAUUGGGAGUGAGACACGGCCCAAACUCUUACGGGAGGCAGCAGUAGGGAAUCUUCCACAAUGGAGGAAAGUGUGAUGGAGCAACGCCGCGUGAGUGAAGAAGGGUUUCGGCUGGUAAAGCUCUGUUGCGUAUGUGAAGAAAGAUAGAGGUAGUAACUGGCCUUUAUUUGACGGUAAUUACUUAGAAAGUCACGGCUAACUACGUGCCAGCAGCCGCGGUAAUACGUAGGUGGCAAGCGUUGUCCGGAUUUAUUGGGUGUAAAGCGAGUGCAGGCGGUUCAAUAAGUCUGAUGUGAAAGCCUUGGGCUCAACCCGAGAAGUGCAUCAGAAACUGUCUGAACUUGAGUGCAGAAGAGGAGAGUGGAAUUCCUUGUGUAGCGGUGGAAUGCGUAGAUAUAUGGAAGAACACCAGUGGCGAAGGCGGCUCUCUGGUCUGCAACUGACGCUGAGGCUCGAAAGCAUGGGUAGCGAACAGGAUUAGAUACCCUGGUAGUCCAUGCCGUAAACGAUGAGUGCUAAGCGUUGGGAACGUUUCCGCCUCUCAGUGGUGCAGCUAACGCAUUAAGCUCUCCGCGUGGGGAGUGCGACCGCGAGGUUGAAUCUCAAAGGAAUUGGAGGGGGGCCCGCACAAGCGGUGGCGCAUGUGGUUUAAUUAGAAGCAACGAGAAGCACCUUCCCUGGUCUUGACAUCCAGUGCGAACGUCAGAGACCAGGUGCUCCUUUCGGCGACGCUGACACAGGUGGCGCAGGGCUGUUGUCAGCUCGUGUCGUGAGAUGUUGGGUUAAGUCCCGCAGCGAGCGCACCCCUUGUCAUUAGUCCCCAUCAUUAAGUUGGGCACUCUAAUGAGACUGCCGGGGACAACCCGGAGGAAGGUGGGGAUGACGUCAAGUCAUCAUGCCCCUUAUGACCUGGGCUACACACGUGCUACAAUGGACGGUACAACGAGAAGCGAACCUGCGAAGGCGAACGGAUCUCUUAAAGCUGUUCUCAGUUCGGACUGUAGUCUGCGACUCGCCUACACGAAGCUGGAAUCGCUAGUAAUCGCGGAUCAGCACGCCGCGGUGAAUACGUUCCCGGGCCUUGCACACACCGCCCGUCA